UACAGAGGUCUCAAGCGUUGUUCGGAUUCAUUGGGCGUAAAGGGUGCGUAGGUGGCGCUGUAAGUCGGGUGUGAAAUUUCGGAGCUUAACUCCGAAACUGCAUUCGAUACUGCGGUGCUUGAGGACUGGAGAGGAGACUGGAAUUCAUGGUGUAGCAGUGAAAUGCGUAGAGAUCAUGAGGAAGACCAGUGGCGAAGGCGGGUCUCUGGACCGUAACUGACGCUGAGGAGCGAAAGCGUGGGGAGCGAACAGG
This 253-nucleotide ribosomal RNA is filed under the name uncultured bacterium. RNAcentral describes it as "partial 16S ribosomal RNA". It matches the Rfam family "Bacterial small subunit ribosomal RNA", at positions 524 to 776 of the family's 1533-position model. The record is from RNAcentral.